Long non-coding RNA from Canis lupus familiaris (dog), 1477 nucleotides. RefSeq lists it as uncharacterized. The record is from RefSeq and is a predicted model, not a curated record. The transcript is spliced from 6 exons. Lineage: Eukaryota; Metazoa; Chordata; Mammalia; Carnivora; Canidae.
ACCUACUAGCGCGAUCUGGUCUGCCCACUGAUCCGACCAAGGACUGACUCACUAACCUCCAGCACUGACGCUCCCCAGACUGACCCUGGCACCGUGUCUGUUAACCCAGGCCACAGGCUGACUGACUGCUGCCCACUCCUAUCCAGACUUGCCCCAAACCCUGCCACAGUCUGGCUGAACCCCAGCUCUGGCCACACUCUGCCCCCUCACCCUCCUUUCAGACUGACCUCUGAUUUGGGUCACAAGGAGACCCCUUGACCUUGCCACCGACUGACCCUUAACAGGAGGAGAAAUAACCAGAGAACCAUGAAACGCUAAAUUGGAGAAGGCUGUAAGAGAACUGCCAGCUGUCGGGCAAAGGAAGGAGAGAGGCUUGGAGAGCCCAAGAGGAAGCCAAACCAGAGAGCAUGAGGAGGGAAAUGAAACCAGGCCCUGAUCUGCUUAUUCAUCUCUGAAAUGGGUCUAUCAACCACCACCCCUGUCUGGGCACCAGGUAGGCAGUGGCCAUGGGAUGUCCAGGAGCUCACUUGGCAUCUGGGGUGAGGGGUAGACACCCACAGAGAAGCAGGGAAGAAGGCAGCAGUACCGUGGGUAGUGUUGAUUCUAUUAAGAUCUCGGUUAGUACCAGCUACCAUUUAUUGAAGAUUCAUUAUGACCAGGCACUAUGAUGUGGAUAUCUCAGAAAGGUGAAGCCAAGGCUGCUGAGCCAGGAAGUGAAGGAGCCGGAUCUGAAGCCUGCAGAGCUGCACUGCUGACCUCUGGGCUCUCCCACGUGAUGAGGGUUGCUUGCGCUGUGCUCACCAUCUUUCCGGGGGCAUUUGACGCACCAGUUUGGUGCCAGACAUGUUUUCAAGCUGCAGCAACUGCUUAGAUGACAAAGGUCAGGGGGAGGCUGCAGAUUUGGGACGCUGACAGAGCCUCCUCCGUGAGAAAGCUCAGCAGCAGCUGGGCCGGGGUCAUGUGUGGUAGCCCCCAUGCUCUGACACCCCCUCCCCAACACUGCCUCCCUCCCAGGGGACAAAGGAACUUGGCUCUGAAGCUGAGGCCAGAAUAUGAGCCAGAGACCUGACCUGACCCCCACCUUGGAGUCGAGUGGAUCUGGGGCCCUGGUGGGGGAGGGGUUGUCCCCAAACCCAACAAACAAACCCUGUUAUUUUAUAAUCACACCAUAGAACAGACUUGAAUGGAAAGCCAGUGGAUCUGGAAGCUUGGAAACCCAGUUCGAGCCUCUACCUCCUCAAUCUGCACAGUGUCCUUGAGUAAACUUGCUUACUAACUCCAAACCUCAGUUCUCUUAUCUGUGAAAUAGAGACAAUGAUACUCCCUUGGGUGGUUGUAAGGAUUUGGGGCACCAGGGGUUAAAUUCACUUUAUUUUAGACUGCCUAUGUUAUGUGUCUUAAGUUGUGGUUCUAAUAAUUUCCCCACUCAAAAGAAACAAGCUUAAAAGAGAAUAGAAAAAAAUAGUUAAUAAUUCAA